UUGUAAACCGUGGCCAGCACCCGUGAUAUACUGUGUGUUGCAAGAGUUAUCCGAAUUUAUUUGUGUUAAAUGGUCGUGAGGCGGAUCUAUAAGGCAGUGGUGAAAUCUCACAUCUUAACUGUGAAACUGCCGUUGAUACUGUAGGUCUUGAGUAAAUUUGAAGUGGCUGGAAUAAGUAGUGUAGCGGUGAAAUGCAUAGAUAUUACUUAGAACACCAAUUGCGAAGGCAGGUCACUAAGAUUUAACUGACGCUGAGGGACGAAAGCGUGGGGAGCGAACAGGAUUAGAUACCCGAGUAGUC
RNAcentral lists this ribosomal RNA (301 nucleotides) under uncultured Thermosphaera sp. RNAcentral's name for it is "bacterial SSU rRNA". It matches the Rfam family "Bacterial small subunit ribosomal RNA", at positions 494 to 795 of the family's 1533-position model. The record is from RNAcentral. Lineage: Archaea; Thermoproteati; Thermoproteota; Thermoprotei; Desulfurococcales; Desulfurococcaceae.